UUAAGAAAUAUCCUGUAGUACUGCAUUUUAUUAUUUUGUACAAAGUGUGCAAAACAAGACAUGGUGUCAGACUAAAAGGUCUUAAAAGAUGGAUUUUUCUGGAGUUCCUUCACCUCGAAUGGACUGGGAGUCUACAAACUUAUCUGAUGCAUGGCGUAAGUUCAAACAGCAUGUGGAGCUGAUGUUCACGGGUCCUCUGAGGGACAAAUGAGAAGAGGGAAAGUGCAGCUACCUGCUCCUCUGGAUCGGUGAAAAGGGGAGAGAUAUUUACAACACAUGGACACUUACCGAGGCUGAAUCAAAGGUACUGAAAACAUACUACGAUCGUUUUGAAGCAUAUGUUGUGCCGAAGACCAAUACGAUUUUCGCUAGGUACAAAUUCCAUGAGAAAGUACAGGGAGCUAGCGAGUCUUUUGAACAGUUUGUGACAGAACUGCGUCUGCUUGUGAAAGACUGUGAUUAUGCAAACAAGGACGAGAUGGUCAAGGACCGUAUUGUAUUUGGAAACUUUUGAAUGUUGGGUCUGAGGUAACGUUGGACAAAGCUAUCGACAUAGCCAGAUCUCACGAGCUAGCACAGGCAAGCUCCGAGUAUGUCUCGACCCAAGAGACUUGAACAAGGCUAUGCCCCCAUUAUCCUUUACCGACGCUAGAUGGCAUCACACACAAGCUAGCGGGAGCACACUACUUCAGUGUCAUGGACGCUAGAUCAGGCUACUGGGCUAUCAAGCUCACAGAAGAGUAAUCUAAGAUCACAACAUUCAACACACCGUUUGGACGCUACAGGUUCCGUCGCUUGCCUUUUGGGAUUAUCUCAGCCCAAGACGAGUUUCAGCGAAAGAUUGACGAAGCACAGUGUCCAGUGCCCAUGGAAGGACACAGUGCCCAUGGAAGGAAAGUUGUGCCGGUGAAUCUCUUAUUUAGAAACAUUUAAAAAAAAAUUGGUUUCCCCCAUUUUUGUUUAAUUUGCUAUUUUUUUAAAAAUGAAGUAACAUUCAAAUUGGACACAAUACAUGAGUCCAUAAAUACACAACUUGAAGCAACCACAUAUUUAGCCAUGGAGCAGUGAGUGAGACAGACAGAACAACAUGGAGGCCAACGAAAUGGCUAGAGCAGAGGAUCAGUUAUAGUGGGAGCUUUGAUGAGACACAAGAAAUGCACGAAGUGUGCUGUUACUCGUCUUCCUCGUGACGUGCUUCAUCCUCAGUCUGCUGGUGGACGUUGGGUUCUUUGUGGUCAAGUUGAGGAGGGCUCGCAUCCCCUGGAGAAAAGAAAGAGGUGAUUGCGCACACCUGCGCCGCUUCCCUUUUAAAUGGGGAGCUCUGGGCGCGAGCCAUAUCAGGGAGAGGUGGACUCCAAGCUGCGGUGCCAGUGCACAGGUGAUUUUACAGUAUUGUUGUUGAGUGUAUUGUUAGGUUUAUUAAAGUAAGAGCAAAACUGGUUUGUGUUUAGAUGUGGCAUCUUGGAGCAAUGCCAGGUAGUGCACAACAUUUCAUUGUUUGUAUUUGUUAUUUUGAAAGGGGGAAACUUGAUAUUCUAUAAUGGACUCAGGCCUCCCUUAUGACUAGUUGUACUUGUUGUAGUUAACUUGGUAGCUUGGUGUGGCCUAUUACUGUUUGCUGUGCUGCUCUUUAGUUACCUUUGUGACGUUAUCAUCUUGUGCCUUUCACUACAGUAUAUCUUAAACAGAGUGCUGUGUCCUACAACCUAAGUGCAAUAAUUGUCUACUGUAACCUAGAAUAUAUUAUGAACAUCGGAAGGUCUCAUGCUUACCCCUGCUUGAAUUAUUGAAAUUGUAAUGACACUGUAGUAAACAAUAUAUUUUUGUAAUACAUUGUUGCGUGACCUGUUUACUUACCAUGUACCCAGUUGAAGUCUUUAUCCACUCUGGCCUAUCUGAAAACAAUCUGUUUGUUACACUAUCAAGUUUUUACUUCUAUAUCCUACUGUGAGGUGAAGGAUGUAAAUCUUGCAUCAAAAUUGGGCAUAUAACUUUCGUGUCUGUAAGUUUAGCAACCGAACAAAAAAUCCAGUCAACUUGUAUUUGCAUUUGACCCUUUAACAAAUGCAUUUGUCCAAAUACAGUUUGCUUAAACUCUGCCCAAAAUUCCCAACAGCAAACCACUGGUCAUAGUGACAAUGUAAAUGUUUUGCAUCAU
Molecule: long non-coding RNA, 2158 nt
Organism: Salvelinus namaycush (lake trout)
Lineage: Eukaryota; Metazoa; Chordata; Actinopteri; Salmoniformes; Salmonidae
Exons: 3
Source: RefSeq, a predicted model, not a curated record